AUGCAAGUCGAGGGGUAUAGUUCUUCGGAACUAGAGACCGGCGCACGGGUGCGUAACGCGUAUGCAAUCUACCUUUUACAGCGGGAUAGCCCAGAGAAAUUUGGAUUAAUACCACAUAGUAUUAUGAAAUGGCAUCAUUUUAUAAUUAAAGUCACAACGGUAAAAGAUGAGCAUGCGUCCCAUUAGUUAGUUGGUAAGGUAACGGCUUACCAAGACUACGAUGGGUAGGGGUCCUGAGAGGGAGAUCCCCCACACUGGUACUGAGACACGGACCAGACUCCUACGGGAGGCAGCAGUGAGGAAUAUUGGACAAUGGGCGCAAGCCUGAUCCAGCCAUGCCGCGUGCAGGAUGACGGUCCUAUGGAUUGUAAACUGCUUUUAUACGAGAAGAAACCACUCUACGUGUAGAGUCUUGACGGUAUCGUAAGAAUAAGGAUCGGCUAACUCCGUGCCAGCAGCCGCGGUAAUACGGAGGAUCCAAGCGUUAUCCGGAAUCAUUGGGUUUAAAGGGUCCGUAGGCGGCUUUAUAAGUCAGUGGUGAAAUCUCCCCGCUCAACGGGGAAACGGCCAUUGAUACUGUAAGGCUUGAAUUAUUAGGAAGUAACUAGAAUAUGUAGUGUAGCGGUGAAAUGCUUAGAGAUUACAUGGAAUACCAAUUGCGAAGGCAGGUUACUACUAAUACAUUGACGCUGAUGGACGAAAGCGUGGGUAGCGAACAGGAUUAGAUACCCUGGUAGUCCACGCCGUAAACGAUGGAUACUAGCUGUUGGGCGCAAGUUCAGUGGCUAAGCGAAAGUGAUAAGUAUCCCACCUGGGGAGUACGUUCGCAAGAAUGAAACUCAAAGGAAUUGACGGGGGCCCGCACAAGCGG
RNAcentral lists this ribosomal RNA (871 nucleotides) under uncultured bacterium. Its description in RNAcentral is "bacterial SSU rRNA". It matches the Rfam family "Bacterial small subunit ribosomal RNA", at positions 55 to 932 of the family's 1533-position model. The record is from RNAcentral.